UCACAAAUAUGGAGCUUUGAUCCUGACAGCUUCCUUUCACUCAGGGGGAGCAGGGAGGGUUUGACAUGGGGAAGCAGGAAAGGCUAUAGAGAAAGGGGUCUUGUUUGUUUCCUGGGUGGAUUGCCUCCUUCUUGGCACUCCUCCAGGAAGCAAGUCUUUUCCUGCCCUAAAACAUUAGGGACAUAAAUCUCUCUGUCCUGUGUAAGAGACCCAGAGAGGCCAGGGGCAGUCACAUAAGCUCUGUCAGGUCCUGCGUGACCUUCAGGGUGGCCAGUGUGUGACCAGGGAGGCUGUAACCCCUGACUGGGACAGGAAAAUGGGUGUCAACCCAACCCAGGGAGAAGAGGGGUGUUGCUAUGAGGUUCUGGAUCCCAGGGGGUAACAACUGUUACUAGCAACCUUAGCAGAAGAGCUAUCCUGAAAAUGAUCUUGCAGGGAAGGAAACCUAGAGGAGAGGAUUCUUUAGAGAGCAGUCUGAAGAGGGAAGCAUAAAGAAGACUGAGUCCAGGACCCCAGAGGCUAAAGUGGGACACUGUGCAGAACCCAAGAGAGAAGCAGGAAGUGUGAUGAAUGGACACCAGCCCACAAGACAUAACCCCAACUUUCAGUCUAGAAACAGGAAGAGAGAGAGAGAGAAGGGGGGAGGGAGAGAGAGAGAAGAUAGCAGGAGGAAUGAGGCCCCUACAAUGAGUGAACAUCUGUGGUUUCUUAUAGUUUUAGAUUCUUUGACAUCUGUUCUCAUAACUGUGCCCCAGGUUCUGUCUGGAGUUUAAACCACACUUUGAAUGAGAUCUGCUUCCCAGCUCUAGUCAAGGUCUGUUUAUGAGACUGGCCCUGGGGACUUAGAAAUUUGAAGGAGACAAACUAUAUUGUGAAAAAGAAGUAUUUUAAUACUUAUAAUUAGGAAAUUUGAUUCAGAAUAUCAAGCUGCCUGUCUGUCUAAUGUGUGCCGUGAAGUUCCACCACCCAGAGGGCAGUCUGGGUUCAUGUUAUUUCAUGUCAGUGAAUGAAGACACUUCUCUCCCUAACCAGCCCUUCUCCUGCCAUUCUUCCACUCUGCUCUGGCAACCAGUUUCUGAUUCUGAGGCUCAUUUAGGUUCAGACUUUAGCCUUUUUUUGAGAAAUCUUAGAAGCUAUGGCGGUGUCUCCUUGUCUUGCUAUUUGGGCAGAGUGGUUUCUGGAAUGCAACAGAGAUGUUCACAAGUACCCAGGGAAUUUGCUUCCUACUUCCCCCUCUCCUGACCAUCAGGAUAGAAAUUUGAACAAGGAGAACCAUCUUUUCAAUAAUCCCUUUUCAGAAGUUACAUUUGUGGCUAGGUUGGUUGUCAUUCUUUUUUUUUUUUUUUUUUCCCUGCACCAGUAAUUUUAUGAAGUGGAAAAUGACUGAACUUACCUGGCAGGGCUCUCUAUUGCCAAAGGCCAGCUCCCAAAUCCCCAAGGUGUGAGGGCUGGGUUCUCCCCAGCAUGUUCUUUUCAAUAAACAUGCCUACACUUGGCCUUUUACUCCAACUACCCGUCUCUGCCCUCCCAGCGCCUAGAGCUUUCCACCUUGGCUCUGCUUCCUUUAAGCCUGCCCUCAGCCUUCCAAUUGAGGGUUGACCUUGGCUGAGCGCCCCACGUGGUCAUUCUCUUUGUAAAAAGUAGAAAAUCUAAGGCACAGAUUUCUGCACUUGGCCUCUCUGCAGAACAGAACUCUCUGGAACUGCAAGCAUAUGCAGAUUCAGAAAAAGUUCUAUUUUACCAGAAAUGUGUUUACUAAACUGAACUUGGCCUCUGGUGCCCCUGCUGCUGAGUCCCUAUGAGAUGGGCCUCCAACUUGGGCUUAUGUAGCACCUGUGAACAAGUCUGGUUUCUUUGCUUGCAAAUAUCUCACAUCUGACUUCCAACUGGCUGAUGUCUCCAAUAUCACAGUUCACUUCCCACUCUGGAAGACGAAACUCACCUAGGGUGUGCUUCCCGCACCUUGAGGUGUUUUACCAAAGACUCUUGUAAACCUUGCAAUGCAAAAUUUACAACUGACAGUACUGUCUAUUAAUAGGAUGGCUGGGGCGAUACAGUGAGGUAGCUAUUUAGCUCAAUGCUCAUUUGGAGGUUUUUUUUUUUUUUUUUUUCCAAUUGUUAAUUGGUUCAGCUAAAAUCAGGUAUUGCUGAUAAGGAAACAGUCUGUAAGGAAAUUAAAGAAACAGUUAGGUGGGGACACUUUGGAUCUCUGGUUUCUUUGUUGUUUACUUUAUGACAUAUCUCCCCAAAUGCACAGGAUAUUAAGUCUCACCCUAAUCUAUCAAAGAGGGAUGGACUAGGGGGUUUGAUAACCUCCAUUCCUUGGCUUCUGAUCUGUGAUUAGAAAGAACUUUGCAAUUUUUUAGCUGUGUGAGCCUAAAAUCUUUGAACCUCAGUCUCCUUGUUGGUAGAAUGGGACCACAGUUGGGAGAGGACUGAAGAUUAAGUAAGAUAAUGCUUGAUAAUCAACUCCUGGUACCAGAGCUUCUUUGAUCCUGUUCAAGAUUCUCCCUCCUGCCAUCUUGGUUUUUCGUGACCCCCUGACAAAUGAAGUGGAACGAUGUGGCCCAGCCCUUUCCUUUCUGUCUCCAGUCUAAUCUACUUGAUUCUCCACUUUUUCUUCCUUAUUCAAUUAAUCCUUUUCUGUCUGAUGCCUAUGUUGUGUUGUUUAUAUUUAUAAGAGUAUAUAGAGAUUUAUAGGAGUAUAUAUAGU
Erinaceus europaeus (western European hedgehog) is the source of this 2713-nucleotide long non-coding RNA. RefSeq lists it as uncharacterized. The record is from RefSeq and is a predicted model, not a curated record. The transcript has 3 exons. NCBI's taxonomy places the organism in Eukaryota, Metazoa, Chordata, Mammalia, Eulipotyphla, Erinaceidae.